UUGCUGUGAUACUUUGAAUUUCUAAAACUGAAUAAUCUAUGUGGAUUAAAAACAAACCUUGUAACCCUGAGCUAA
Molecule: small nucleolar RNA, 75 nt
Filed under: Salmo trutta (river trout)
Lineage: Eukaryota; Metazoa; Chordata; Actinopteri; Salmoniformes; Salmonidae
Source: RNAcentral